GCGUCGGUGGUAUAAUCUGUUAGCAUAUUGCCUUCCAAGCAGCUGACCCGGGUUCGACUCCCCGGCCGACGCA
Molecule: non-coding RNA, 73 nt
Organism: Trichonephila inaurata madagascariensis
Lineage: Eukaryota; Metazoa; Arthropoda; Arachnida; Araneae; Nephilidae
Source: the annotation of a GenBank genome assembly